Molecule: unclassified non-coding RNA, 720 nt
Filed under: uncultured bacterium
Lineage: Bacteria
Description: partial contains 16S ribosomal RNA, 16S-23S ribosomal RNA intergenic spacer, and 23S ribosomal RNA
Rfam family: Bacterial small subunit ribosomal RNA (bases 1-152)
Source: RNAcentral
GUACACACCGCCCGUCAAGUCACGAAAGUUGGUAACACCCGAAGCCGGUGGCCUAACCCUUGUGGGGGGAGCCGUCGAAGGUGGGACCGGCGAUUGGGACUAAGUCGUAACAAGGUAGCCGUACCGGAAGGUGCGGCUGGAUCACCUCCUUUCUAAGGAGCUGCUAAUGAUUGCUGCUGUGCCUGCAUGGGUGUGGUGGUGGUUGUCAGUGUUGCCCAUUGCGCAGGCGUCUGUUCUGCGGUGGGUGCUCAUGGGUGGAAUAUCAACGAAUCUUUUUUUGGCAUGGCCUUCCCGGUUGUGUCCUGGUGCGAGUACGGCGGUCUCCGUGUCCCUUUUGUGGGGGUGUGGGGGUUGUUGGGAAAGUUGCUGGGGUGCGGGGUGUGGGGGUUGUGUUUGGCGCACUGUUGGGUCCUGAGGCAACAGGACCUUUUUGCAGCAAUGCAGGGGGGCACUUCUGGUGUUUCUUUUGUUCCUGCGACCGGUUCCUCUGGUUACUGUUAUCGGCCCUGUUUGUGGGUUGUGGUGGUUGGGGGUCUGGUUGAUGGGGUUGUUGUUUGAGAACUACAUAGUGGACGCGAGCAUCUGAGACACAUGCCUUUGUGGUGUGUGUUUCUACAGCAAUUUCUUAUGAAUGAACCUGGCCCUUGUGGUCGUGGUUCUCUCGAGUAAGUUUUUGAUCAUUUUGUGUGGUCAAGUUUUUAAGGGCGCACGGUGGAUGCC